Molecule: unclassified non-coding RNA, 229 nt
Filed under: Hevea brasiliensis (rubber tree)
Lineage: Eukaryota; Viridiplantae; Streptophyta; Magnoliopsida; Malpighiales; Euphorbiaceae
Source: RNAcentral
AAUUGAUUGGGGUUGGGUUGGCCACACCAUGAACAGCCAUGGACAUGCCAGUACUAAUACAAGACUCAUUUGCAGGGCCACCAACACUAGGUUUAGUCUCCACAGCCUCAUCAUUAUCACUGAUUGGCAGCCUGUGAAACGUAGGGUUCAAGAAAGUGGCGGCAACUACCACCACCAGACUUGCAGCUAACACCUUCCCGGCGAUAAUUCCUCCGAAUACCUGUCCUUG